UAGGGAAUAUUGCACAAUGGAGGAAACUCUGAUGCAGCGACGCCGCGUGAGUGACGAAGGCCUUCGGGUUGUAAAGCUCUGUUCUCAUGGAAAAAGAAAGUGAUUGUACAUGAGAAGAAAGGACCGGCUAACUUCGUGCCAGCAGCCGCGGUAAGACGAGGGGUCCAAGCGUUGUUCGGAAUCAUUGGGCGUAAAGCGGGUGUAGGUGGCUCUAUAAGUCAGGAGUGAAAGCCCUGAGCUUAACUUGGGAAGUGCUUUUGAUACUGUAGAGCUUGAAUGUGGGAGAGGAUGAUAGAAUUCCAGGUGUAGUGGUGAAAUACGUAGAUAUCUGGAGGAAUACCGGUGGCGAAGGCGGUCAUCUGGCCCAACAUUGACACUGAGACCCGAAAGCGUGGGGAUC
Molecule: ribosomal RNA, 400 nt
Filed under: uncultured bacterium
Lineage: Bacteria
Description: bacterial SSU rRNA
Rfam family: Bacterial small subunit ribosomal RNA
Source: RNAcentral